AUUGAACGCUGGCGGCAGGCCUAACACAUGCAAGUCGAACGAGUGGCGGACGGGUGAGUAAUGUCUGGGAAACUGCCCGAUGGAGGGGGGUAACUACUGGAAACGGUAGCUAAUACCGCAUACCAUCGGAGGUGCCCAGAUGGGAGUAGCUAGUAGGUGGGGUAACGGCUCAACUAGGCGACGAUCCCUAGCUGGUCGGAGAGGAUGACCAGCCACACUGGAACUGAGACACGGUCCAGACUCCUACGUGAGGCAGCAGUGGGGAAUAUUGCACAAUGGGCGCAAGCCUGAUGCAGCCAUGCCGCGUGUAUGAAUAAGGCCUUCGUGUUGUAAAGUACUUUCAGCGAGGAGGCGUUACUCGCCGAAGAAGCACCGGCUAACUCCGUGCCAGCAGCCGCGGUAAUUC
Molecule: ribosomal RNA, 406 nt
Filed under: uncultured bacterium
Lineage: Bacteria
Description: partial 16S ribosomal RNA
Rfam family: Bacterial small subunit ribosomal RNA
Source: RNAcentral